UGGAAACCAAGACAGACAGGGUCUGGGU
RNAcentral lists this non-coding RNA (28 nucleotides) under Mus musculus (house mouse). Lineage: Eukaryota; Metazoa; Chordata; Mammalia; Rodentia; Muridae. The record is from RNAcentral.